RNAcentral lists this transfer RNA (77 nucleotides) under Actinomycetes bacterium. RNAcentral's name for it is "tRNA-Arg". It matches the Rfam family "tRNA". Rfam says of the family: Transfer RNA (tRNA) molecules are approximately 80 nucleotides in length. Lineage: Bacteria; Bacillati; Actinomycetota; Actinomycetes. The record is from RNAcentral.
GCGCCGUUACCGCAGCUGGAUAGAGGGCAUGACUACGAAUCAUGAUGUCACAGGUUCGAAUCCUGUACGGCGCACCA